Molecule: ribosomal RNA, 464 nt
Filed under: uncultured bacterium
Lineage: Bacteria
Description: partial 16S ribosomal RNA
Rfam family: Bacterial small subunit ribosomal RNA
Source: RNAcentral
UGGGGAAUUUUGGACAAUGGGGGCAACCCUGAUCCAGCAAUGCCGCGUGUGUGAAGAAGGCCUUCGGGUUGUAAAGCACUUUUGUCCGGAAAGAAAACGCCGUGGUUAAUACCCGUGGCGGAUGACGGUACCGGAAGAAUAAGCACCGGCUAACUACGUGCCAGCAGCCGCGGUAAUACGUAGGUGCAAGCGUUAAUCGGAAUUACUGGGCGUAAGCGUGCGCAGGCGGUCCGCUAAGACAGAUGUGAAAUCCCCGGGCUUAACCUGGGAACUGCAUUUGUGACUGGCGGGCUAGAGUAUGGCAGAGGGGGGUAGAAUUCCACGUGUAGCAGUGAAAUGCGUAGAGAUGUGGAGGAAUACCGAUGGCGAAGGCAGCCCCCUGGGCCAAUACUGACGCUCAUGCACGAAAGCGUGGGGGAGCAAACAGGAUUCAGAUACCCUGGUAGUCCACGCCCUAAACGAUG